This is a small nucleolar RNA of Mesocricetus auratus (golden hamster), 200 nucleotides long. Its record names the gene U3. It matches the Rfam family "Small nucleolar RNA U3". From Rfam's summary of the family: Small nucleolar RNAs (snoRNAs) are involved in the processing and modification of rRNA in the nucleolus. There are two main classes of snoRNAs: the box C/D class, and the box H/ACA class. NCBI's taxonomy places the organism in Eukaryota, Metazoa, Chordata, Mammalia, Rodentia, Cricetidae. The record is from Ensembl.
AAGACUAUACUUUGAGGGGUCGUUUCUAUAGUUUGUCACUAGAGCAGUUUCUCUGACUGUGUAGUGUACCCAAGACCACAAGGAAAAGACAGCGUCCCCCUAAGCGUGAAGCUGGCUCUGUUGCGCCUCCUCCUCUUCCGCUCAGGGUCAUCCUUCUCUUCCUUUGGGAGAGUGGGGGGAGGAAGUGUGGUUGGAGUGGA